GAUGAACGCUGGCGGCGUGCCUAAUACAUGCAAGUUGAGCGCUCAAGGGUGGUACUUGUACCGCCUGGAUUAGCAGCGGACGGGUGAGUAACGCGUGGGUAAUCUGCCUUUGAGCGGGGGACAACAUCUGGAAACGAAUGCUAAUACCGCAUAAAAACUUUAAACACAAGGUUCAAGAUUGAAAGAUGCAAUUGCAUCACUCAAAGAUGAUCCCGCCGUGGCUUAGCUAGGUGGUGAGGGAAAGGCCCACCAAGGCGAUGAUACAUAAGCGGACCGGGGGGGGGAUCCGCCACAAUGGGACUGGGACACGGCCCAAGACCCUUAGGGGAGGAGCAGGAGGGAAUUCUUGGGAAAGGACCGAAGGCUGAACGGACAACGCCGCGUGGGGGGAGGAAGGUUUCCGAACGUAAAAAUCUGUUGAUAGGGAAGAAAGAUAGUGGGAGUGAAAAGCGCAUCAAGUGACGGUAACUACCCAGAAAGGCACGGCUAACUACGUG
RNAcentral lists this ribosomal RNA (497 nucleotides) under uncultured bacterium. RNAcentral's name for it is "partial 16S ribosomal RNA". It matches the Rfam family "Bacterial small subunit ribosomal RNA", at positions 28 to 507 of the family's 1533-position model. The record is from RNAcentral.